AAGCGAGUGCAGAGGUACGUGGAGACACUGGAUGCCAUCAAGAUCAAGAACGCAAUGCCGAGAGCGAAUGGUCGUCCACAGGCCAAGGAGCAGCCGCAAUGGCCACACCAGAAGAGUCACCAACCGCAUCAUCAUCAACAGCAAAUGAGGGACACACAGAAUCCGGUUCGACCGCAAAUGCAGCAAAAGAAGAUGCAUUUGCAGCAACCACAGAAUGGGAUGCCGCAGCAACCGGUGGUGGUGACGACGAACUGGGAAACGUUCGAUUCCCUGUUCAUGCCAUCCACAACCACGCCCACCCCGGCCGCCUCGUCCACUCCCC
This 322-nucleotide long non-coding RNA is filed under the name Musa acuminata (dwarf banana). RNAcentral describes it as "long non-coding RNA (MACU_LNC003781)". Lineage: Eukaryota; Viridiplantae; Streptophyta; Magnoliopsida; Zingiberales; Musaceae. The record is from RNAcentral.